Molecule: long non-coding RNA, 4198 nt
Filed under: Sus scrofa (pig)
Lineage: Eukaryota; Metazoa; Chordata; Mammalia; Artiodactyla; Suidae
Description: lncRNA (ENSSSCG00060029193.1)
Source: RNAcentral
AGGGGGAGGAGGCCGGCGAGAAGUAGUGGAGUUUAGGGCUCGUUUCCUGCACUUCCCCAGGAGGCUGGAGCCAGGUACGGCAGAGCGCGCUCCCGCGGCGCGGGCAAGGUAGGGGCGACCGCCGGAACCGGAGUCCGCUCAGUGCCGGGGCCCGCAGCUGAUCUGCGGGAGGAGGAUACAGCCUGAAGGACAAAGCUGUUGAGUUCUAGAAAGAGAUAACUCAAAUGUAAGUAAACUUAUUUACCAACUACUCCAACGAAAUCAUAAGCUCAGCAGCAGCAACAAAAUGUAUAUUGUUUAAUAUAUUGAGCAGGAGGAAAGAUGGCUGUUUGCCAGAUCUGUGAUCCAUUAACCUCUUUAGCUCAUUGUUGGCAACAAUAGCAUACAAUCACAGUCUUAUGUUGGAAAGACAAGGGAUUGUUUUUUCCCAUUUCAAAAUCACAAUGCCACAUUAUAGUCUAAAAGAAACCUCAAACAAUAAAAGUAAUAAGAAAGGAAGAAACACAAUUUGCUUUUUUCUGAACAAAUGUUGCUGUUCUGUUUUUCUUGAGGGGAAAAAUGCUGAUAAGCAAUAAAGUCUACAAAGGCAUGACAGUAGAUUUUGAAGAAUGCAUUGCUCCAUCAGUCUUUUCAAUUAGUCAACUCUAUUUAAAAUGUUUAUUUAUGUUAUCUUUUUUUUUUUAUUGGUAUUGAGUCUUUCUUUUGUGCAGGGAAGAUUACUGAGGAGGAGAUCAGAUGAAUCUAGUUUCUCAUAAUUCUGUCUUGCUUCAGGUUUAUGUCUGGCAGGAGAGGAACAAUCAGUGGCCUUUGCUUUCUCAGCAAAUCCUAACUUCUCCUCAGAGGACCUUUAGCUCUGUAGUUGAUGGACUAAAAGAUUGUCACAGUGAUUUUGCCUAGCUUGUACAAGAUCACACCUGGGGCUAGGAGCAGGUGCAACUGCAGAAACCGAAGCAGACUUUUGGAAAGGUUUCUACCUAGCUUCGGGUUUGAGGUAGAUGUGUGGUGCUUGCUCUUCAGCUCUUCAAAUAAUCUGGCCUUCUUGCUAGGAAAAGUUCAGAGGUGGGUGAGUGGAUCCUACAUUUUUAGUAGGAACAUUUCAGUAGUGUGGGAAAUUAAACAAAUAAAACUAAACAGCAGAUGAAGGGGCAUAGCCAAAAAAAUCUUUUUAAAGUGUGGUUUUGAACACGGUCACAGGUUCAUUGGUUUGGUUUAGUCACCAAAGCCAAAUAAAGUGUGCAGUGAUGAAACAUUUGGUUAAUUGGAGUGUUCAUUUGGUAAAGAAUUUUUUUUCCCCUGACAUCAUCACAGUCUCUUGUCCCAUAAAAAUGCACCCAUUAAAUAUUGUUCAGUUUGCAGUUUCACAUGGAAGCUUUCCUCUUAGUAAAUUAUGGAAUUGUUGGUCAUUAUUAGGAAAUAGAGGGUAUCUGAUUUGUUUCUCAACAUUUUUGUGUAUUUAACCAGUCAAUUGCUGACAUCUAGAUUCAGUUGGUUAAGUAAACAUUUAUUGAAAGGAACUCUUGGAGUCCUGUCAUGGCUCAGUGGAAAUGAAUCUGACUAGCAUCCAUGAGGAUGCAGGUUCGAUCCCUGGCCUUACUUGGUGGGUUAACGAUCCAGAGUUGCCCUGAGCUGUGGUGUAGGUCACAGGUGCGACUGGGAUCCAGUGUUGCUAUGGCGUAGGCCAGAGGCUACAGCUCCAAUUCAACCCCUAGCCUCCAUAUGCCUCAGGUGCGGCCCUGAAAAAAAUAAAUAAUAAAGGAACUCUUUUGUGCCAACCACUGGAAAUCAAAAGAUGAGUAAAAGGCUUCUAAAAGAAGCCUUUGCUCUCAUCCUCUGUGUUCAGUAAUCACUAGGGUUAUCAAGUAUAGAUCUGUUUCAUCAAGAGUCCUUCUCUUUUGCAGAAAUGAACCUCUGAGCCCCUAUCUCCGUGUCCCAUCACUGUAUUUGAUUGUCUCUUAUGUGAAAGUUCUGGUUUUGUACUGUGCUAUGCUAUUUAGCAGUCAGAGGCCUAAAGCUAUAAAGUCAUACCUGAUGAUAAGGGAAAUAUUUUCUUAUGGAAGAGGCAGGUCCACAGAUCUGAUGUCAGAAACGAUGAGUAUGUCAAGAGGAUUUAACCCCUCUCUAGGUCCAGAUCAGUGCUAGCUAAUAGAAAUGUCUAGCAAGGCACAAAUGUGAGCCACCUGUGCAAUUUUAUGUAUUCUGUAGCUCACUUUAAAAGUAAAACAAAGCAGGUGAAAUUUAAUAAUACAUUUUAACCAUAUGAUCAAUACACAAUUAUUAAUAAAGUAUUUUACAUUAUUUUUUUUUCAUACUGUGAUGGGCAGGAUGGUUCCCAUACCCUAAUCCGUGGAACUUAUAAAUGUGUUACAUUACAUGGCAAAGUGGGCUUCGUAAUUAAAUUUAUAGACUUGUAAAAUAGGGAGAUUAUCAUGGAUUGUCUUGAGUGGGUCCAGCCUAAUCACAUGAGUUCUUAAAAGCCAAACAUUUGCUCAGGCAAGAAGCAGAAGAAAUAUGACACAAAGAGAAGUCAGAUUCAAAGCAUGAGAAGGACUUAACAUGCUUGAAGAUGGAAGGGUCAGUGGGACAAGGAAUGCAGGUGACUUUCAGGAGCUCCGUGAGCUUCUGGAUGACAUCUGGGAAGAAAAUAAGACCACUGCCCUAUACUCAUGAGGAGCUGUGAGCAACUUAAUUCAGCCAACAGUCUGAGUGAUCUUGGAAGCAGAUUCUUCCAUCCAGCCCCCAGAGAAGAAUGCAAUGCUAAUGACACCUUGCUUUUGUCCUUAUGAAACUCUAAGCAGAGGACUCAAGUGAACCAACUGUACUGGGACUUCUGGACAACAGAAUGGUGUGAUAAUCAAUUAAUGUUUUAAACCACUAAAUUUAUGGUAUUUUUAAAUAGCAGCAAUGAAAAACUCAUACAUGUACUGAGUCUUGAAAUCUAGUAUAAAUUGUCUACUUACAGGCCAUCUCAAUUUGGACUGUCCACAUCUGAGAUAUUCAAUAGCCACAUGCAACCAAUGGUGAUAAUAUUGGAUAAGGAAACUCCAGACCAAGAGGAGUAAGAUGUCUAGAAAGUGUUAGGUCCAUAGGCUAAAUAAAAUGUAACCAUGUGGAGAGAGAAGAGGUGCAAGGAAGGGAGGAAACUGGCAGGGUCUCUCUUGAUUCUCUACCCUUGAGCCAUGUGAAGGGGGUAAUCUUGCUCAUACAGAACACAGGUUAAGUCUUACAAGUUAGUCUGUCAAAAUUCACUGAAUUCAUAUAUAUAUAUAAAAAAACCAUGGGGCUAUUAAUGAAGUCUUUUUCAAUAUUCCAUUUUUGUUUCAGUUAAGUUUUAGAGCAAUCAAGAGAAGAGUUGUUGCUUCCACUUGACUUCAUACUUAAGGUAGAGCAUCAUUUCGUUCCAGUCUUAUGGGGUGGGGGACAGUAGGCAAGGGUAACUGUGAAAGGUCUCUAGGAAAGGAAGAAUUAUGUAAAUUGAUUUAGCUGUUCCUCCCAACCAGAGAAACUGUUUUCAAUAUCAGUCUCCUGAAGUCUAAGUUUUACUGUCAUUAAGAGAGGCGUCAUGUUUUACAAUUCAAUUAGAAUUGUAAGUAGCCUUCCUUGUCUAGCUUUUCUUUUGCCAUCUUCCCUAUUAGGUACAAAAGUAAGCUGUUACCCUAUAAAAUACAGAGCAGGAACUAACUUCUGUAACCUAUGACCAUUUUAGGAAAGUUUUGCCAAAAAGAUGUAGACUUACACUUAUGCUGGGUUUAAAGAAAAAAAAAACAAAAAUGGAAGCCUAGACCAGCAGAGAGUAAAGGGAGGGCUUUCCAGGCUGGAAGGAGAGGUGAGGGGGCUAACAAUGUAAAGACAAGAAAGUGAAUAAGGGGAUGAUUGACUAUAGCGAAAAGCUUUUGUAAGGAAAACUCUAGCUGAUGUAAAAGAUGGAAAGGUUGGGAUUUCCCAUCUUGGCGCAGGAGAAAGGAAUCCGACCAUGAACGAUGAGGUUGCGGGUUCCAUCCUGGCCUUGCUCAGUGGGUUAAGGAUCCAGCAUUGCUGUGAGCUGUGGUGUAGGUCUCAGACACGGCUUGGAUCCUGCAUUGCUGUGGCUGUGAUGUAGGCUGGCAGCAAUAGCUCCAAUUAGACCCCUAGCCUGGGAAACCUCCAUAUGCCACUAGCGUGGCCCUAAAAUGACAAAAGACAAAAAAAAAAAAAAAAAAAA